This is a small nuclear RNA of Rhinolophus ferrumequinum (greater horseshoe bat), 102 nucleotides long. Lineage: Eukaryota; Metazoa; Chordata; Mammalia; Chiroptera; Rhinolophidae. The record is from Ensembl.
AUGCUCACUUGGGCAGCACAUAUACUAAAGCUGAAAUGAUAGAGAUUAGCAUGGCCCCUGUGCAAGGAUGACGAAAAUAAGUAAGUCAGUAAGUCAGUCAGU